AGAGCCAGAGACAGAGACAGAGACAGAGACAGAGACAGAGACAGAGACAGAGACAGAGACAGAGGCAGAGACAGAGGCAGAGACAGAGACACACAGAGACAGAGACAGAGACAGAGACAGAGACAGAGACAGAGACAGAGACAGAGGCAGAGACAGAGGCAGAGACAGAGACAGAGACAGAGGCAGAGACAGAGACACACAGAGACACACAGAGACACACAGAGACAGAGACAGAGACAGAGACAGAGGCAGAGGCAGAGACAGAGGCAGAGGCAGAGACAGAGACACACAGAGACAGAGACAGAGACAGAGACAGAGACAGAGACAGAGACAGAGGCAGAGGCAGAGGCAGAGACAGAGACAGAGACAGAGACAGAGACAGAGACAGAGACAGAGACAGAGGCAGAGGCAGAGGCAGAGGCAGAGACACACAGAGACAGAGACAGAGACAGAGACACACAGAGACAGAGACAGAGGCAGAGGCAGAGGCAGAGGCAGAGGCAGAGACAGAGACAGAGACAGAGACAGAGACAGAGACAGAGACAGAGACAGAGACAGAGGCAGAGGCAGAGGCAGAGGCAGAGGCAGAGACAGAGGCAGAGACAGAGGCAGAGACACACAGAGGCAGAGCGCUGCUGCUGCUGUUGGGGUGGGUUGACCUGUCUGUCUGUCUGUCUGUCUGUCUGUCUGUGGAGAUGAUGUGUGGACCUGUCUGUCUGUCUGUCUGUCUGUCUGUCUGUCUGCCUGUAGAGAUGAUGUGUGGACCUGUCUGUCUGUCUGUCUGUCUGUCUGUCUGCCUGUAGAGAUGAUGUGUGGACCUGUCUGUCUGUCUGUCUGUCUGUCUGUCUGUCUGUCUGUGGAGAUGAUGUGUGGACCUGUCUGUCUG
Molecule: long non-coding RNA, 886 nt
Organism: Clupea harengus (Atlantic herring)
Lineage: Eukaryota; Metazoa; Chordata; Actinopteri; Clupeiformes; Clupeidae
Source: Ensembl